This 660-nucleotide ribosomal RNA is filed under the name uncultured beta proteobacterium. Its description in RNAcentral is "bacterial SSU rRNA". It matches the Rfam family "Bacterial small subunit ribosomal RNA", at positions 49 to 704 of the family's 1533-position model. The record is from RNAcentral. Lineage: Bacteria; Pseudomonadati; Pseudomonadota; Betaproteobacteria.
UUACACAUGCAAGUCGAACGGCAGCACGGAGCUUGCUCUGGUGGCGAGUGGCGAACGGGUGAGUAAUAUAUCGGAACGUACCCUAGAGUGGGGGAUAACGUAGCGAAAGUUACGCUAAUACCGCAUACGAUCUAAGGAUGAAAGUGGGGGAUCGCAAGACCUCAUGCUCGUGGAGCGGCCGAUAUCUGAUUAGCUAGUUGGUAGGGUAAAAGCCUACCAAGGCAUCGAUCAGUAGCUGGUCUGAGAGGACGACCAGCCACACUGGAACUGAGACACGGUCCAGACUCCUACGGGAGGCAGCAGUGGGGAAUUUUGGACAAUGGGCGAAAGCCUGAUCCAGCAAUGCCGCGUGAGUGAAGAAGGCCUUCGGGUUGUAAAGCUCUUUUGUCAGGGAAGAAACGGUGAGAGCUAAUAUCUCUUGCUAAUGACGGUACCUGAAGAAUAAGCACCGGCUAACUACGUGCCAGCAGCCGCGGUAAUACGUAGGGUGCAAGCGUUAAUCGGAAUUACUGGGCGUAAAGCGUGCGCAGGCGGUUUUGUAAGUCUGAUGUGAAAUCCCCGGGCUCAACCUGGGAAUUGCAUUGGAGACUGCAAGGCUAGAAUCUGGCAGAGGGGGGUAGAAUUCCACGUGUAGCAGUGAAAUGCGUAGAUAUGUGGAGG